Molecule: long non-coding RNA, 1778 nt
Organism: Xiphias gladius (swordfish)
Lineage: Eukaryota; Metazoa; Chordata; Actinopteri; Istiophoriformes; Xiphiidae
Exons: 3
Source: RefSeq, a predicted model, not a curated record
UUGGUGGUGAUGAGGAUGUUUUUGGAGCCGAUCAGAGACGGGUUGAUGAGGACGUUGGAGACGGCCGGCGUGGACGGCGUCGCUGUCGGGACAAGAGAAGCGGGCAAGACAAAGACUAAAUAAACAGCAGCUUUCUUCACUCAACUCCAGACCUCCCAUGUAUGUUUAAACAGACUUGACCUCUCAGUGCUUUGAGCCCAGAUAUAUAACUGGUGUCACACUGCUUCAGAUUAAAGCAAGUGACUGGGAGGACUGGUUCUUACUGGUUUUGGUGGUGGCCGUCUGGGAGGGCGGUGGGAUCUGCACGGUGAACCUCUGACCCGUCAGAGACACCGGAGCUCCGACUUUAGUGGUGACGGACUGGACAGACGCAGUUCCUGUGGGGAAAACACUGGUCAGAACAGACUGGUCCAGCUGGGACCAAACAAAAGCCAAACAUCUGUUCAGGUAACUGCAGCAGAAAAUACUGAGAGCAAGUGAGUUCCCAUCAGAUUCUUCUCCUUUACUCCAGCUCUCCAGACAAACACCUAUAAUGGUGCCACUGUGACUAUUGUCAUUGCUGAUUAAUCUCUGGAUGAUUCUUUUGGUGUUGACAAUAAAAUGUGGAAAAUGAGAACAAGUGAAAAGUGCCUCUUGUAAUUUCCCACAGUCCAAGUCAACGUUUUGUAUCGUUCAGCAUCAUUCAGGACGAAGAAAGCACCAAAUCCCCACAUCACAUUUUUACUACAUAAAAACGGACUAAAGGAAAUUAUUCAUUUAACUAAAUAGUUGCAUUUCGAUUUUCUGUCGAUCGGACUGAGAGACUAAUGGAUAAUCUCUGUAGCUCUGCACCUUUUAGUCCAAACACAACAUCAGAGUCAAAACGCUGCUGCAGCAGUUGUCCAACUUAUUUUCAGGCAGAAAGAUUUUUUAAACAAACGUAGUAACGUGAUCCGGCCGGUGAGCUCUGAUAAACUAGGCCUGGACACGGCGCUGAUCUCUGGGUUCGAUUUCAAUUCACAAAGUCCAGAAUCGAUUCGAUUGGAUUCGAUUCUUGUUGAUUCUUCUACGUCAGAUAAACAGAUGAUGCGUAAAGCGAUUCUCCGACUUUAUUCUGGGAACUUAAACCUCUUCUACGUUCAACAUGUGAACAACGCUGUCGUUUCCAUCAGCGUAAAAAAGUCACAUUAUCGACUGAACUUCAAACACUUUCCAGGUUUAUUUUCCUCUGCAAAUGCAAACGAGUAAAACAUGAUACAUCUGCUUGUUUUCAGUUCUGCAUGAGCAAGAACAACAAAGAUCCUGCGUAUGUUACAAAGGCGUCGUCAUUCUGCAUUAAAUAAAUCAAUAACAAUAAUGUCCCAUCCAGCUACACAUGGACUGUGAGUAGCAGACGCUUCAGCUGAGCACAGACGGGACAGAAUUUUACAGCUCUGUUACUCUGGUCUGGAAUUUGUAUUUAACCUCUUUGUGUUUCCCCCCUCUCAAUAAAAUGUCUGACAAACAUCUGCAUCCUGUCCACGUGACGGGACUCACCGAGGGUCGGCGUGGUCGGUCUGCUGGAGACGGAGCUGACGCUGAGGCGAGGCACCGAUAUCCUGCCGGCGGACGACGACACCUGGAAGAAAGAACUCACGUGACGGAGCUGUACCGUAGGAUAAAAGGAAAACCAGAACAGCACCAGAAACUACGUAAAUGAGAAGAACUGCAUCGGGAAUUCAGCCAGAAAUCGGUGAUCAGGAGGAGCAGCAGGAGACCGAACGGAGGUCGACGGGCGACUUACGUCUCGCGGUGGCGGU